AGGAUGAACGCUGGCGGCGUGCCUAAUACAUGCAAGUCGAACGGGCUCUUCGGAGCUAGUGGCGGACGGGUGAGUAACACGUUGGUACCUACCCCUAAGUGGGGAAUAACUGCCCGAAAGGGUGGCUAAUACCGCAUAAUCCCGUAAGGGUAAAGCAGUAAUGCGCUUAGGGAGGGGCCUGCGUCUGAUUAGCUUGUUGGUAGUGUAAUGGACUACCAAGGCGACGAUCAGUAGCUGGAUCGAGAGGUUGACCAGCCACACUGGGACUGAGAUACGGCCCAGACUCCUACGGGAGGCAGCAGUAAGGAAUCUUCCACAAUGGACGAAAGUCUGAUGGAGCAACGCCGCGUGCAGGAUGACGGCCUUCGGGUUGUAAACUGCUUUUAUAUGGGAAGAUUAUGACGGUACCAUAUGAAUAAGGACCGGCUAACUACGUGCCAGCAGCCGC
RNAcentral lists this ribosomal RNA (448 nucleotides) under uncultured bacterium. RNAcentral's name for it is "SSU rRNA". It matches the Rfam family "Bacterial small subunit ribosomal RNA", at positions 26 to 518 of the family's 1533-position model. The record is from RNAcentral.